This 8281-nucleotide long non-coding RNA is filed under the name Triticum aestivum (bread wheat). Its description in RNAcentral is "long non-coding RNA (TAES_LNC028600)". Lineage: Eukaryota; Viridiplantae; Streptophyta; Magnoliopsida; Poales; Poaceae. The record is from RNAcentral.
UUCAGUUUCUCCAAUAUUCUUAUAAAUAACUUCUUCAUAUUUUACAAAUUUAAUCAAGGAUUUGAUCCAAUCCCACUAAAAAACUAUUUUGUACCAACUCUUCAAAGUCCUUUCACCUUUCCUAGCUCCAGGGAAGAAUAAGCUCAGUCCUUACUCAGCCUGUCUGUUGCUGAGUUUGUUCACAGACAUCUUCCUUACUUGAGUAGAUUGCUAAAGAAAUCAAGAAGUCUAGUUGUAAGCCACUUGUGCAAUUCACAGUGGCAUCUGCAUCAAGCCGAGGAGCGCGAUAAACAAGAGACGGCCACAGACAUAAAGGCAAGCAGAUUACAAACUACAAUUUCAAUCCUUGCCAGUUUUAUUGCGCCUGGCUGGCUUGGACCAUUGCCAGUUUCAUUACCAAUGAUCAGCAGCUUCCUUCAUCAUGUCCCUAUGAUGUUUUAUCCAAGAAGAGCCCCUUCCUUGUAUAAAGCAAAUCACCAAAACCACCACGUGAUGCUCCAAGUUACUUAUUUGAAACAAGCAAAACAUCAAGCUGGCUGCAUAUGACAAGUCCAAAACAUCAAUAGCUUGACUGGAAAAUCUGCCAGGUAAAGCAAUUAAAGUAGAAUUGAAUUGCAAAAGCAAGCAGUUCUUUCAACAGGCAUAUCCUCUACUAGAGACGCCUCUCCUCAGCUUCAAUCCUUUCUUUACCCACUGGUUUAAGUAUUGCAAAAAUAGCACAUAUAACCCUAAGUGAACCAUUUACCAAAACCAAGAUGACGAUAUUACAUUCAAAGGAUUCCACAAUAAUGUUAUCUCUUAUAAGAAAGAAAUGGUAACCUGAUUGGAAAACUUGUUUCUCUCUUCCAGAGUUUUCAGAGUACCAUAUCUUUUGUCUUUCAUUUCUAAUAACUCUCAUGGCCUGGGAAGAUUAUAUAUCAGGCACUUUGAUUAAUUAAUUAAUAGCAGUUCAAUUCAAGUUGUUCCAGACUCCGUGACCAAUCAGACUCAAUAUUAAGCUGGGAAAAAAAAAUUAAGCGAUUCAAGCAGGGACUUGAAUGCAUUCUUUGCUUCCUACAGUUUGAUUUUUUUUAAGGAAUAUAAGCUGCAUUCACAAAAGUAAAUGAGUUUCUCAUUCCUAAUUAACUUCUGUAGUAGGAUGAACAAGUGCCACUUACCUCAGACAUUGUUCACACUGUAAAGUGCAGAGAAAGAAUUAGAUCACUGGGCAAUAUUGGUAUUGUGGGGUUCAAAGAUAUUUCUAUUCACAUAGUUUAUACCUCUUAAAAGAAGUUGGUCUCAGAUGUAUAUCCAAAUCUGAGAUUUUGCUAUUCUUUUGUUCUACAUGCUGGAUAUCUACUUCAGGAUCACCUUUUAUGAUAUUUUUUCACCAUUGGACAUGCGAAAUAAGAUGUAUAAAAAUUCAUAUGCAAAAAUGUGAGUGGGAUAUACGUCUGAAUCAACCUAUCAGUCUCUACUUCAGUAUGCAGGUUUAUGUUUGGAACUAAAAGACCAUUUCUUCGUUUCCUCCAUAACUUAUGCAGAUAGAGUGUUCAUAUGCCUCAUGCAUAUCCUUUUCCAGCUAAAACAUUCUUGCUUUUAUUAAGAGAUAUCAUUCUUUUCCCUCUAGUGUAUUAAAGGUACAUCUGUUACUAAUUAAAAUUUAAAUGACCAGUGUCUAGACUGUAGGUAUAUACUGUACCAAGGAAACAACAUAACUAAGACAAGAGGCACGCAGUAACAAAUCAACCUACUGGUGUAUGACUAGCUUGAACAUUUCUUUAUUAAUUCUGUUUUGUUUUACAAUUGCUUGCCGAAGUUAAAUUUUAUUGUCUUCUGCCUGUAUGUAAUUCAGGAAGCAAAUUCCCAGAAUAAUUAUUGGGCUUACACCAUACUACCUCUUAUGCUUUAGAAAAAAAUGACUGAUUAUUAUCUAAGCUGCAUGUUUAGUUAAAUAUUAAAAGCUAAACUGUACCAUAUACUACUAAUACAUGCACCAUGUAAACAAAAGUUAUCCUAUGACCAUUUGGUUGUUGUGCUGAGUCUAAAAAAAAUACAAACGCGGCAGGUAACAAACUUGGUCUUAUUUUCAGAUUAAAAAAAUGUAAAGAGCACUUUAUAUGUCCUGAAAGCGAAUAGUACUGGCUUACCUCAUUGGUCCUCCAAAUCAAAUUUCACCAUUUUGUCAGCUGCCAACUUUUGGAGUUGCUCAGCACCAUGAUCCACUUAGUGCUUGGCAACUCAUGCUCCUCCAGUCCUCCCCAUCAAAUUCACCUUUUUGUCAGCGGCCAAUUCAUUAGUACGAACACCAACCACCCUCGUAAGAACCAUUGUCUGUAAUGCAAUAAGCAAACAGUCAUCGGUGCACUGCAUUGGUUACAUAAAUCAGCAGGAAAAUCAUUUAGCUUCAUUUCAGACUUGCAAAGGCUGCUCCUACAGAAACAUGUGAAAGUACCUCAUUUCUCAUUCCUGAGAUAAUGUCUUUGCUGCUUGCAUACUAAUGCGUUGAUUGAUGUCAGCUUACAGCUUAGGACUUUGAACAGAAACCAGAGAAUUGAUAGAUGAAGUUAGAGAUCUUCCGGGGUUUCUCAAAUUCCAUCUCUGGGUCAGUGACAGGAAUAAACGUAGGACAGCCAUGUAACACAUCAGUAACAGUGGUUCAACACAACCUCCACCAUUAGAAGCAUAUUCAGUGUAUACUUGCAAUACAAUUGAUUAAAUGAUUGCUUAGUUCUCCUGUGGGAACAACAGGAACAACAUUUUGAUAUUGGAAGUUGGAACUGCCUCUUCAGUGCAUUGAUCCUGCAAAAGUAUGUGAAAACUUGAGUCACCAUUAUGAUCAUAACAGCUUAUAACAUGGCAUGUCAUAUAUAAGAUAACAGGGAAGAGUUUCCCACCAGCUAAGCACAGCAGGCAGCAGCUUCAUUUACACACUUCCAUCUUGUCUCAGAGAUAAAAGCAACAGCAGAGGAUAUUUUUAUACUGCACAGCAGGUGCUCUGUAUUCUCAUUUAAGAUUCGAAAUGUACAAGGGGGUACUAAAGGAAAAACAAAAUCCAGUCGCAAAACAGGGCUAUGAUGUGGUGAAAGGACCCUCCAGCAAAUGGAAGUGAACUUCGAUGAGGUUAGCAACAUCUAGUUGAGGAUGAAAUCCUGGAGCGCAGUCGAUCAGGUUACAUACAGACACCACAACAACAUUAUUGACCUGACAGAGGGGAAGUCCAGGUGAUAUAAGUUUGCAGCUAGGAAAGCAGCGAUGCAGUUAAUGAGGUUUGGGUGUUUUUAUUUCUCCACAAACAGCUCAUCAUGCAUGUUUCUUGACCUGUGGUAUGACAACUGAUGAGCUGAUGGAGUUAUCGGAAUCAGAGUCGAGAUAUGGAUGCAUGGUUCUAGAAUAGGGAAACAAUAUUGGCAUAAAUAUUUAUUCCUCUGUUAUCUGAGUUUUCAUGAGCAGAACUCUUUUUUUAGUUGGAGCAGAACAUUUUUUUAGCUUAUCCUUGUAACCAGAGAAACACGUAUCCUUCACCCAUUCCACAAGAAUAAAUAUGAGUAAUUCUCUUUGCCGAUGCCUAUGGUACUAACAAGUAUGCAAGAUCGAGAGCACCUAUUCCCUGAACAUGUAUUUUUUUUCCCUAAGCAAUCUAUUUAACCGGGAACAAUAUGUAGCAAUAAUGACCCAAAGUAGAACAUGGUCAUUACACGAGCAAGCAAAACAUUUAAAUUUGAAAGCAUACCAUUUCCAUGGAUAAGUGGCUUGCAGCCUCGGUAUCGAGCUCUGAGAGAGAAAGGGUUCCACACUGAGUAUGACAUGAAGCAACUCAUCCGCAGGCCGCAGCUCCAAGCCAAACUUCAACUUGGGAUAAAACAUCAUCGGAGUUCUCCUUGGGGAGUGGGUCCGCCUUAUCGGGAGUCUAAUCUCUCCUCAUGCAUGUGCGAUUAGCUGUUGCACAGCUCCGAAUCAUUCGUCCCACACGACCUAUUGGAGAGNNNNNNNNNNNNNNNNNNNNNNNNNNNNNNNNNNNNNNNNNNNNNNNNNNNNNNNNNNNNNNNNNNNNNNNNNNNNNNNNNNNNNNNNNNNNNNNNNNNNNNNNNNNNNNNNNNNNNNNNNNNNNNNNNNNNNNNNNNNNNNNNNNNNNNNNNNNNNNNNNNNNNNNNNNNNNNNNNNNNNNNNNNNNNNNNNNNNNNNNNNNNNNNNNNNNNNNNNNNNNNNNNNNNNNNNNNNNNNNNNNNNNNNNNNNNNNNNNNNNNNNNNNNNNNNNNNNNNNNNNNNNNNNNNNNNNNNNNNNNNNNNNNNNNNNNNNNNNNNNNNNNNNNNNNNNNNNNAGCAAGUCCUGCAACAGAGACAAAGUGCAAACCCAAAAGAAACAGCAAAACAUGGCUGGCGAGCGACCGUGCAGGCUUCCGCCGAACAUCAAGAACAACAUCAUCUCGCAGUCCUGAUGAGUAGUGCCCACGGCUGGAGUGUGCGGCACCUGGGGUAAAACAGCUGACAGGCAGAAAAAUGGCUGGGGAAAGCUGCUAAGAGUCAGCAAACAGAGUUUGGCAUCACCAUGCCAUGCAGGCAUUACAUCGAGCACCUAGUGGGCAGCGCCCAUGGCUGGGGUCUGUAGAGACUAGCGGAGGCACCAACAGCUUCCUCUUCUUCAAGAAAAGCGCAAGGUCGGCACCCUGCGGGCAAGGCUGCUCCACCACGGCCACGCUUGGCCGCACGGGACCUGACGGAGAGGUCGCCGCCGUCGUCUGACUCCACCCCCCGCAGCCAUGGGCUCUCCCCCCGCUACCGAGAGCAUUGCAGCAGACUCAAAACUGCAGCCAUCUCCAGUUGACGCGCAGGGCAGGCACAGCGGAGGGCGUGGGUUUGUGCGUGGAGGCGGCCCCACACCACACGGUGGUCGCGUCGGCACCGCGCCUCGGCCGCUGGCAGGGGGGAGGAAGAAGAGGGGGAAAACGUUCCGCUUCCCCCGAAUGAAAGCGUAUUCCGCGAACCAACCAACAGAAAACUAGUCGUUCGAAAGCAGCGCGCCCUCCGCCGCGCGGCCUCGACUUGGGCUCCCUUCUCUUCUCUCCGGCGAGCCACGCCAGCUGGCCGAUUCGAGAAUCAGCUGAGCGGUUACAAUCUCUCGAGUCCCCCCUCUCUCUCAGCAGCGCGCCACCAUUCGCAACAGCCAACACCGCCGAUUCCCCCGGCCGCCCGUCCCGCCGUCGCCAUGGACAGGCCACCGGUGAGCCGUCCCUCCUUCCCCGCCGGCAACCGCUACGCCGCCGUGGAUGGAUAUGGCGGGGGCUACGGCCACCGCCUCGCUUCUUCACGGGGCCAGCCCGGAGCUCCCUACGGUGUCGCCGCACCCGCACAGGUUCGUCCCCUCGCCUCGCCGCACGGGCUCGGCCCGCCGUCCCGGCCUCUCGUCGCGGGAGACUUCAGCGGCAAAGGCGAUGGUCUACUGGGCCCCGGUCCCGGCCCCGUCCUCUACCGCCCCGGCAACGCCAGCAGCCGCCCCUUCCUCCCCCUCAACGACUACGCCAGCGACCCAAGCAGCGGCAACUCCAGCAGCCGCCCCUUCCUCCCCCUCAACAACUACGCCAGCGACCCAAGCAGCGGCAACUCCAGCAGCGGCUCCUUCCUCCACCUCAACAACUACACUGGGAACUCAGGCACGGCAGCCAGCACGCCCUUCCCCCCCGUCGAGCAUACCGGAGCCUUCGACGGUUCGGGAGUGGUCACCAUUGACCUCGAGAAUUCUGUGCAAGUCUUCAACACCAUCAAGCGCAAGGUGCAGAAGAGGAGCGGCCACCUCUACAUCGGCCUUGACCUCGAGUACUGCGCAAGCUCCGCCACUGACCUGGACCAUCGCCCGUUCUGCCCCAACGACUGGUAUGAGUACCUGAAGAAGUAUGUCAACGAAGGUGCGCUUGUCCAAAUUGGUCCUGCUCUAGCGUUCGAGGGUCCGGUACCAUCUCCUGUGGAGGCAUACCAGGUGAAUGUGCAUAUUGAUGUCCAAUCCGGUGGAUAUCACCCAUCUGCAGUCGAUUUCCUGGAGAGCCAGGGGCACAAGUUGGCAGAGUAUAGGGACAGGGGCGUGAUGCCAGAGUGGCUAUUUGCAGAUGUGCUUAGCCACUUGCCCUUCGGUGAUGAUUCUGUAACCUGGAUCACCUUUCAUGGAGACAGGGAUGUGGGGUUCCUUCUCAGGUUGCUUAUUGCCGGAGGCAGAGGAACAUUGCCCUCAGACAAGCUCACAUUUCUACAUGUGUUUCGUGACAAAUUUCCAUUGUUCUACGAUGUCAAGGUGCUUGCUCAGCUAGUGCAGCCAAGGUUUGCUGGCAAGCUAACCAAGUUGACAAAGUUGCUUGGUGUACAGAGGCAAGGAGAGGAACACUUUGCAGGGUCCGACGCUCUGCUGACACUUGGCUACUUCAACAAGAUUGUGGAGAUCUCGGCCAAGACUAACAUAGUGUCCAGAAUGGGUUUGCUAUCUGGUCUGGAGGAGCUAGAGCUUUCCAUGACUUGCGGGAAAUCAGUGAACGAUUCUGGCAUCAAUGUCUUAAAGGUUACGGCGCAUAACUACGAUGAGGAGGCAGCACGGAUCUCUGACCUUGUGGGGAACAAUUUUCAGUUCGUCGCAAUGCAGGUAGAUUCCUGUCUUUCUUAGUUACAAAUAAAAUUGUUCUGACUCAUGAAUUCAUGCAUGCUUGUUGUUUUACUUGUGUUUACAUGCUUGUUGAUUAGUCACAGCUGACUAAUCUAAACUUCUGCACUAGGUACUCUUACCAGCGUCUCAAGACAUCCUAGGUACCUCUGCUGGAGCUCAGUCCAGCUAUGAGAGAGUGAAGAAAGUGCUGGAUAGUGUUGACAGGUUUGAUCUGCUCAUAGCGUUCAUGAACGCUGAAGGGGUCUUGGGGCAUGGGCGGGUGUGGCAAUUCAGCUUCAAUCUGAGGCUGGAUGGUGCUGAUCAAGAUGCAUACGUGUGUCCCCGUCGGCUGGCUUGCGUUUUAGCUUCUUCUGGAGUGACCCACCGCCCCAAUACGGUCUGGGUCACAGUACAUGGGGCGUAUGGCAUUGCCUGCCUUCUCAAGGCUUUUCUUUCCCCAGUUGACCUUCCUCACGCCUACAGAGAUUUUAUCAUCAGCCGUGCUGCUUGUUUUCCAUGCCUUUAUGACAUUGGCUUGCUUGCCAAUUCAGCACGAGACUUGGCGCUUCUGCCUACAGGAUGUAACGGUGGACUGGGCCACAUAUCCAGUGCGCUUGGUGUCCUCGAGGAUCCCUGUGAGGUGGUAACUCUCCUACGAACCUUCAAUGCAUUCCAAGCAAGACCAGAUUUCCAGAGCUUUGUGCCCGGUGGGCUCAUGGAGCGAUGCUGCCCUGCAUGCCUGAACAUGCAGUGACUGACCUUAUGCUUACGCCUACAAUACCCCUGGUGUUGCAGUUCUGGUGCCCAUGCUGUAACCCUCCUCUGAAUGUUAGUUGAGCUGGUGUUGUGACUGUAAAAAUCGUUGCUGAUUCUGCUAGGAAAAUUUGCUACUGCAUUUGAGAUGCUCAUGCUGAUAAUGCUGCUCGGAAUGUUGCAACAAUGUAAAUCUUCGCUUGCUCUGCUGUAACUCUGCUCCGGGUGUUUGCCAAUUGUGGUGAUGCUCUUUGAACAUAAUACAAUUUGAGGUGGCAGUCCAUUUCUGUAACUCUACUGCUAAUGUUAGCUGUUUGAGAUGAUGAUGGAACUAAGCCUUUGCUGAUGAUGCUGUAACCCUGCUCGGAAAGUCUGCUAGUUCAGCUGAGUCCAUUUCUGUAACUCUACUGCUAAUGUUAGCUGUUUGAGAUGAUGAUGGAAGUAAGCCUCUGCUGAUGAUGCUGUAACCCUGCUUGGAAAGUCUGCUAGUUCAGCUGUGUAAAUCGUUGUUCAUUCUGCUGUAACUCUGCUAGGAAUGUUUGCUAGUUGCGCUGAUGACGUAACUGUGUAAAUCUGUAAUUCUGAUCGGAACGUUUGCUAGUUGAACUUGAGAUGAUGAUGCAACUACGUAAAUCUUUGCUGAUGCUGCUUUAACUCUGCUCCGUGUGUUUGCCAGUUGUGCUGAUUCUGUAACCUUUGAACAUAGUUUUUUUUAGAGAAAAGUACUAUGGUCCCUCCGUAUGUUUUUAGUCUCUCAAAUUUACCAAAAGUCUGCAUAUGGCCCAUCAAGUUUUUUUGGUCUGACAUUUAAUCCCUCAUGUCUCAAAACCGAAUAAUUUUCGUCCAAAACCAGAAACCAAACUGUAUUGAGCUGACCUGUCCCGGUUUCGACUCGAACAGCUCGAGUUGACUGCAACCUCAUCU